UACGUAGGGUGCAAGCGUUGUCCGGAAUUAUUGGGCGUAAAGAGCUCGUAGGCGGUUUGUCGCGUCGGCUGUGAAAACUCGGGGCUCAACCCCGAGCCUGCAGUCGAUACGGGCAGACUAGAGUGCUGUAGGGGAGACUGGAAUUCCUGGUGUAGCGGUGAAAUGCGCAGAUAUCAGGAGGAACACCGGUGGCGAAGGCGGGUCUCUGGGCAGUAACUGACACUGAGGAGCGAAAGCCAGGGGAGCAAACGGG
Molecule: ribosomal RNA, 253 nt
Filed under: uncultured bacterium
Lineage: Bacteria
Description: partial 16S ribosomal RNA
Rfam family: Bacterial small subunit ribosomal RNA
Source: RNAcentral